Molecule: ribosomal RNA, 492 nt
Filed under: uncultured bacterium
Lineage: Bacteria
Description: partial 16S ribosomal RNA
Rfam family: Bacterial small subunit ribosomal RNA
Source: RNAcentral
AGUGAACGCUGGCGGUAGGCCUAACACAUGCAAGUCGAACGGCAGCACAGUAAGAGCUUGCUCUUACGGGUUGCGAGUGGCGGACGGGUGAGGAAUACAUCGGAAUCUACUUUUUCGUGGGGGAUAACGUAGGGAAACUUACGCUAAUACCGCAUACGACCUACGGGUGAAAGCAGGGGAUCUUCGGACCUUGCGCGAUUGAAUGAGCCGAUGUCGGAUUAGCUAGUUGGCGGGGUAAAGGCCCACCAAGGCGACGAUCCGUAGCUGGUCUGAGAGGAUGAUCAGCCACACUGGAACUGAGACACGGUCCAGACUCCUACGGGAGGCAGCAGUGGGGAAUAUUGGGCAAUGGGCGCAAGCCUGAUCCAGCAAUACCGCGUGGGUGAAGAAGGCCUUCGGGUUGUAAAGCCCUUUUGUUGGGAAAGAAAAGCAGCAGGUGAAUACCCCGCUGUUCUGACGGUACCCAAAGAAUAAGCACCGGCUAACUUCGUG